GACGAACGCUGGCGGCGUGCUUAACACAUGCAAGUCGAACGAAGUGGCGAACGGGUGAGUAAUACGUGGGUAACCUGCCCUCCUUCUUGUGAUAAGCCUUGGAAACGGGGUCUAAUACCCACUAUAGGGUGAUGGGCUCGCGGCCUAUCAGCUUGUUGGUGGGGUGAUGGCCUACCAAGGCGGUGACGGGUAGCCGGCCUGAGCGGGUGGACGGGCACAGUGGGACUGGGAAAAGGCCUAGAGUCGUACGCGGGGGAGCAGUGGGGGAUAUGGCACAAUGGGUGAGAGCGUGAUGCAGCGAAGCCGCGGGGGGGAUGAAGGCGUUCGGGUUGUAAGCCUCUUGCGCUAUCGAACGGGUAGGUGAAGAAGAAGCGCCGGCUAAUUACGUGCCAGCAGCCGCGGUAAUUC
Molecule: ribosomal RNA, 408 nt
Filed under: uncultured bacterium
Lineage: Bacteria
Description: partial 16S ribosomal RNA
Rfam family: Bacterial small subunit ribosomal RNA
Source: RNAcentral